RNAcentral lists this ribosomal RNA (629 nucleotides) under uncultured marine bacterium. Its description in RNAcentral is "bacterial SSU rRNA". It matches the Rfam family "Bacterial small subunit ribosomal RNA", at positions 56 to 678 of the family's 1533-position model. The record is from RNAcentral.
UGCAGUCGAGGGGCAGCAUUUCUAGCUUGCUAGAAGAUGGCGACCGGCGCACGGGUGCGUAACGCGUAUACAACCUACCUAUAACAGGAGGAUAGCCCAGAGAAAUUUGGAUUAAUACUCCGUAGUACUAUUUAAUCGCAUGAUUUGAAUAAUUAAAGCUUCGGUGGUUAUAGAUGGGUAUGCGUAAGAUUAGCUAGUUGGUAAGGUAAUGGCUUACCAAGGCGACGAUCUUUAGGGGGCCUGAGAGGGUGAUCCCCCACACUGGUACUGAGACACGGACCAGACUCCUACGGGAGGCAGCAGUGAGGAAUAUUGGUCAGUGGAGGCAACUCUGAACCAGCCAUGCCGCGUGUAGGAAGACUGCCCUAUGGGUUGUAAACUACUUUUAUCUAGGAAGAAACCCAGAUACGUGUAUUUGGCUGGCGGUACUAAAAGAAUAAGCACCGGCUAACUCCGUGCCAGCAGCCGCGGUAAUACGGAGGGUGCAAGCGUUAUCCGGAAUUAUUGGGUUUAAAGGGUCCGUAGGCGGGCCAUUAAGUCAGAGGUGAAAUCUUGUAGCUUAACUAUAAAAUUGCCUUUGAAACUAUUGGACUUGAAACAAUUUGACGUGAGUGGAAUGAGUAGUGUAG